UGGAUUCAAGUUGGAAGAGGGUAAAACGAACAAAUGUUUAAUUAAGGAACAAAUGUUAGAUCAAUUGGAAUAGCUUAUGAAAAAGAUAAUGGUAGAUAAACAUAAGAAAUUGAAUUAGAAAACAGCGUGAUGAUGGUGAUGGCCGUGCUGUUGGGUGGUGGCGAUUACAAUUGUAGCGGCAGUGAGUAGUGACAAUGGCGAUGGCAAUGGUCGUGGCGGUAGCGGUGGUUGCAAUAACAGUGUAACGGUGGUGGAGAUGAUGGUGGUGGUGGUGN
RNAcentral lists this long non-coding RNA (275 nucleotides) under Arabidopsis lyrata. RNAcentral's name for it is "long non-coding RNA (ALYR_LNC000021)". Lineage: Eukaryota; Viridiplantae; Streptophyta; Magnoliopsida; Brassicales; Brassicaceae. The record is from RNAcentral.